GGGAGAAAUAAGUAAACCUGUAUUUCUUCUAGGUCUGGCGUGCUUCUUUUAAAUGAAGGGUUGCAGAUGAAGCUACUUUCCCAUUCCUACAUCGCGCUCUCCAGAGUGUUCAUCAUGGUGUCCAGUUUCCUUGACCACAGGCUGCCUAGAUUACUCCACCCACGAAGGUCAUGAUUGGAUGAAAGGUGAGAUUUAGAGAUUCUUCUCUAAAUUUUGAGAUAAGCUUCUUAUUAAUGAAAGGUUCUUUCUCUUGCCUGAGGUUGAGAGCUGUAAUAAUAGUAUAAACCACACCCAUUUGUGGCCAUUGUCUUCAGCACCUGGAGAAGCCUUCUUUAUUCUGGGAGAAUGAAGCCAACAAGCAAAUAAAAGCAGACUCAAGAGAUAGAGAAAGGAUAUAAUUACAUUGGUUGAAUGCUUGUAUUUUCUUGGAACUGGACUUCUCAACUGUACAACCUGAUGCCAUCAUGGAAGCUGAAAAUCCUCACGCCUUUCAUUCUGUCUAGGGCUGACUGGAACCAGGGCUGGCUGAUCAGCUGUCAGGCUGCUUUUUAG
Molecule: long non-coding RNA, 552 nt
Organism: Pan paniscus (pygmy chimpanzee)
Lineage: Eukaryota; Metazoa; Chordata; Mammalia; Primates; Hominidae
Source: Ensembl